AAUUUUCAGUUCAUAUGGAAAUGUUAUGCGAUCACAUUGCUUAGGUUGUGGCGGAGAGUUGAAGACGACUUGGGAGUUCCCAUACCAUGUCCUACGUAUCCAAUAUGAAGAGGCGGCAGAUUUGGCUUAUAAUGGCUUAGUUCAACAAUGGGAACAAGACCAGAGCGAUGCUAUAUUUACUCAGGAUAUUGGGAAUUAACCGUUAACGUGGAUGAAAAUUUCAGAGCGAACUUUUGACCCGGCAGCUAUAGUAUGUGUUGAAACUAGGAAGAAGUUGGAAGUGAUUAUGACAACCGAUCUGCAUAGCAGGAGUCACGUAGAUUUCAUCGAUUAAAAGGAAAUCAUGGUAUUCCUUGUUUUAGCAAUUUCAUGUUCCUAACUAUUCUUUCACUUACUAACAACUCUUCUUUUAUUUAACUUGUGUUAAUAUUUUUAUGUUUUUUAUUUUAUGUAUUUUCAGGUCCAAACAUUGAUAAAUGAUCUUUGGAAGAGUGCAACAAGAAGAUUGACAAAGUAUAAAGACCAAGAAAUUUGUCUGUUCGAAGGAUUGAACUCUUUAGUUAUUUGCAAAGUUUAUUUGAAGAGGAGUGCAUUACAUUGAAUUCUUUAGUUAUCUGGAAAGUUUAUUUUAAAUGAAAAGUGCAUUGCUUUUACUUAUAGCAAAAGAUUAUGAUGGUGCAACAAAGUUCAUUUGGAUGUCUUAGAAUAAUAUAAAUACAUUACACACAUAUAUUCUAUAUUAAGUACAUAUAUAUAUUUUAUUUAGUUUUUCUUUUAAUAUCAAAUUUUCAGUUCAUAUGGACAUGUUAUGCAAUCACACUGUUUGGAUUGUGGCGAAGAGUUACAACUUGGGAUUUUCUGUAACAUGUCGUGCGUUAUCCAAUAUGU
RNAcentral lists this long non-coding RNA (888 nucleotides) under Malus domestica (apple). RNAcentral's name for it is "long non-coding RNA (MDOM_LNC007934)". Lineage: Eukaryota; Viridiplantae; Streptophyta; Magnoliopsida; Rosales; Rosaceae. The record is from RNAcentral.